UACGUAGGGGGCAAGCGUUGUCCGGAAUCAUUGGGCGUAAAGCGCGCGUAGGCGGCUUGGCAAGUCGGAUGUGAAAUCCCUCGGCUCAACCAAGGAAGUGCAUCCGAAACUGCUGAGCUUGAGUACUUAAGAGGAUCGCGGAAUUCCCGGUGUAGAGGUGAAAUUCGUAGAUAUCGGGAGGAACACCAGUGGCGAAGGCGGCGAUCUGGGAAGAUACUGACGCUGAGGUGCGAAAGCGUGGGGAGCAAACAGG
Molecule: ribosomal RNA, 253 nt
Filed under: uncultured bacterium
Lineage: Bacteria
Description: partial 16S ribosomal RNA
Rfam family: Bacterial small subunit ribosomal RNA
Source: RNAcentral